UACAGAGGUCUCAAGCGUUGUUCGGAUUCAUUGGGCGUAAAGGGUGCGUAGGUGGCGCUGUAAGUCAGGUGUGAAAUUUCGGAGCUUAACUCCGAAACUGCAUUUGAUACUGCGGUGCUUGAGGACUGGAGAGGAGAUUGGAAUUCACGGUGUAGCAGUGAAAUGCGUAGAUAUCGUGAGGAACACCAGAGGCGAAGGCGGCUACCUGGACAAUUGCUGACGCUCAGGCACGAAAGCGUGGGGAGCAAAAGGG
RNAcentral lists this ribosomal RNA (253 nucleotides) under uncultured bacterium. RNAcentral's name for it is "partial 16S ribosomal RNA". It matches the Rfam family "Bacterial small subunit ribosomal RNA", at positions 524 to 776 of the family's 1533-position model. The record is from RNAcentral.